AGUCGAACGGCAGCGCGGGAGCAAUCCUGAGCGGCGAGUGGCGAACGGGUGAGUAAUACAUCGGAACGUGCCCAAUCGGGGGGGAUAACGCAGCGAAAGCUGUGCUAAUACCGCAGAAAAUCUACGGAUGAAAGCAGGGGAUCGCAAGACCUUGCGCGAAUGGAGCGGCCGAUGGCAGAUUAGGUAGUUGGUGAGGUAAAGGCUCACCAAGCCUUCGAUCUGUAGCUGGUCUGAGAGGACGACCAGCCACACUGGGACUGAGACACGGCCCAGACUCCUACGGGAGGCAGCAGUGGGGAAUUUUGGACAAUGGGCGAAAGCCUGAUCCAGCCAUGCCGCGUGCAGGAUGAAGGCCUUCGGGUUGUAAACUGCUUUUGUACGGAACGAAACGGCCUUUUCUAAUAAAGAGGGCUAAUGACGGUACCGUAAGAAUAAGCACCGGCUAACUACGUGCCAGCAGCCGCGGUAAUACGUAGGGUGCAAGCGUUAAUCGGAAUUACUGGGCGUAAAGCGUGCGCAGGCGGUAAUGUAAGACAGUUGUGAAAUCCCCGGGCUCAACCUGGGAACUGCAUCUGUGACUGCAUUGCUGGAGUACGGUAGAGGGGGAUGGAAUUCCGCGUGUAGCAGUGAAAUGCGUAGAUAUGCGGAGGAACACCGAUGGCGAA
RNAcentral lists this ribosomal RNA (665 nucleotides) under Variovorax paradoxus. RNAcentral's name for it is "bacterial SSU rRNA". It matches the Rfam family "Bacterial small subunit ribosomal RNA", at positions 60 to 719 of the family's 1533-position model. The record is from RNAcentral. Lineage: Bacteria; Pseudomonadati; Pseudomonadota; Betaproteobacteria; Burkholderiales; Comamonadaceae.